RNAcentral lists this ribosomal RNA (203 nucleotides) under uncultured bacterium. RNAcentral's name for it is "partial 16S ribosomal RNA". It matches the Rfam family "Bacterial small subunit ribosomal RNA", at positions 1284 to 1500 of the family's 1533-position model. The record is from RNAcentral.
CGUCUCAGUUCGGAUUGUAGUCCGCAACUCGACUACAUGAAGCUGGAAUUGCUAGUAAUCACAGGUCAGCAUACUGUGGUGAAUACGUUCCCGGGCCUUGUACACACCGCCCGUCACACCAUGAGAGUUGAGAAUACCCGAAGUCCAUGUCAAAGUGGCCGAAGGUAGGCUUGAUGAUUGGGGUGAAGUCGUAACAAGGUAGC